Molecule: ribosomal RNA, 465 nt
Filed under: Vreelandella stevensii
Lineage: Bacteria; Pseudomonadati; Pseudomonadota; Gammaproteobacteria; Oceanospirillales; Halomonadaceae
Description: partial 16S ribosomal RNA
Rfam family: Bacterial small subunit ribosomal RNA
Source: RNAcentral
CCUACGGGAGGCAGCAGUGGGGAAUAUUGGACAAUGGGGGGAACCCUGAUCCAGCCAUGCCGCGUGUGUGAAGAAGGCCCUCGGGUUGUAAAGCACUUUCAGUGAGGAAGAACGCCUGGUGGUUAAUACCCAUCAGGAAAGACAUCACUCACAGAAGAAGCACCGGCUAACUCCGUGCCAACAGCCGCGGUAAUACGGAGGGUGCGAGCGUUAAUCGGAAUUACUGGGCGUAAAGCGCGCGUAGGUGGCUUGAUAAGCCGGUUGUGAAAGCCCCGGGCUCAACCUGGGAACGGCAUCCGGAACUGUCAAGCUAGAGUGCAGGAGAGGAAGGUAGAAUUCCCGGUGUAGCGGUGAAAUGCGUAGAGAUCGGGAGGAAUACCAGUGGCGAAGGCGGCCUUCUGGACUGACACUGACACUGAGGUGCGAAAGCGUGGGUAGCAAACAGGAUUAGAUACCCUGGUAGUC